GUAGGUGAACCUGCGGAAGGAUCAUUAACGAAUCAAAGGUCUUCGGACCGAUUCUCUUACACCCGUGCUCUUGUCUUUUUUGACAAAUGAUUUUCUGAAUAUACAGUCGUCUGAGAAAUCCAUCCUUUUAGGAUGUAGAAGAAAUCUAAAAACUAUGAACAACGGAUCUCUAGGCUCUU
This 179-nucleotide unclassified non-coding RNA is filed under the name rhizosphere metagenome. RNAcentral describes it as "partial ribosomal RNA internal transcribed spacer region". The record is from RNAcentral.